UACGUAGGGUGCGAGCGUUAAUCGGAAUUACUGGGCGUAAAGCGUGCGCAGGCGGUUUUUUAAGUCAGACGUGAAAUCCCCGGGCUUAACCUGGGAACUGCGUUUGUGACUGCAAGACUAGAGUACGGCAGAGGGGGGUAGAAUUCCACGUGUAGCGGUGAAAUGCGUAGAUAUGUGGAGGAAUACCGAUGGCGAAGGCAGCCCCCUGGGAUAACACUGACGCUCAUGUACGAAAGCGUGGGUAGCAAACAGG
This 253-nucleotide ribosomal RNA is filed under the name uncultured bacterium. RNAcentral's name for it is "partial 16S ribosomal RNA". It matches the Rfam family "Bacterial small subunit ribosomal RNA", at positions 524 to 776 of the family's 1533-position model. The record is from RNAcentral.